RNAcentral lists this ribosomal RNA (1944 nucleotides) under freshwater metagenome. RNAcentral describes it as "bacterial LSU rRNA". It matches the Rfam family "Bacterial large subunit ribosomal RNA", at positions 3 to 1984 of the family's 2925-position model. The record is from RNAcentral.
UCAAGUGAAGAAGCGCAUACGGUGGAUGCCUUGGCAGUCAGAGGCGAUGAAAGACGUGGUAGCCUGCGAUAAGCUUCGGGGAGUCGGCAAACAGACUUUGAUCCGGAGAUCUCUGAAUGGGGGAACCCACCCAGCAUAAGCUGGGUAUCAUGCACUGAAUACAUAGGUGUAUGAGGCGAACCAGGGGAACUGAAACAUCUAAGUACCCUGAGGAAAAGAAAUCAACCGAGAUUCCCUUAGUAGUGGCGAGCGAACGGGGAUUAGCCCUUAAGCUUCUUUGAUUUUAGCGGAACGCUCUGGAAAGUGCGGCCAUAGUGGGUGAUAGCCCUGUACGCGAAAAGGUCUUAGAAGUGAAAUCGAGUAGGACGGAGCACGAGAAACUUUGUCUGAAUAUGGGGGGACCAUCCUCCAAGGCUAAAUACUACUGACUGACCGAUAGUGAACCAGUACCGUGAGGGAAAGGCGAAAAGAACCCCGGAGAGGGGAGUGAAAUAGAACCUGAAACCGUAUGCGUACAAGCAGUGGGAGCCCACUUUGUUGGGUGACUGCGUACCUUUUGUAUAAUGGGUCAGCGACUUAUAUUCAGUGGCGAGCUUAACCGAAUAGGGGAGGCGUAGCGAAAGCGAGUCUUAAUAGGGCGUUUAGUCGCUGGGUAUAGACCCGAAACCGGGCGAUCUAUCCAUGGGCAGGUUGAAGGUUAGGUAACACUGACUGGAGGACCGAACCGACUCCCGUUGAAAAGGUAGCGGAUGACUUGUGGAUCGGAGUGAAAGGCUAAUCAAGCUCGGAGAUAGCUGGUUCUCCUCGAAAGCUAUUUAGGUAGCGCCUCACGUAUCACUCCAGGGGGUAGAGCACUGUUUCGGCUAGGGGGUCAUCCCGACUUACCAAACCGAUGCAAACUCCGAAUACCUGGAAGUGCCGAGCGUGGGAGACACACGGCGGGUGCUAACGUCCGUCGUGAAAAGGGAAACAACCCAGACCGUCAGCUAAGGUCCCAAAGUUGUGGUUAAGUGGUAAACGAUGUGGGAAGGCUUAGACAGCUAGGAGGUUGGCUUAGAAGCAGCCACCCUUUAAAGAAAGCGUAAUAGCUCACUAGUCGAGUCGGCCUGCGCGGAAGAUGUAACGGGGCUCAAACCACACACCGAAGCUACGGGUGUCACGUAAGUGACGCGGUAGAGGAGCGUUCUGUAAGCCUGUGAAGGUCAAUUGAGAAGUUGGCUGGAGGUAUCAGAAGUGCGAAUGCUGACAUGAGUAACGACAAUGCGAGUGAAAAACUCGCACGCCGAAAGACCAAGGGUUCCUGCGCAACGUUAAUCGACGCAGGGUGAGUCGACCCCUAAGGCGAGGCUGAAAAGCGUAGUCGAUGGGAAACGGGUUAAUAUUCCCGUACUUCUAAUUACUGCGAUGGGGGGACGGAGAAGGCUAGGCCAGCUUGGCGUUGGUUGUCCAAGUUUAAGGUUGUAGGCUGAAUUCUUAGGCAAAUCCGGGAAUUCAAGGCCGAGAGCUGAUGACGAGUUAUCUUUUAGAUGACGAAGUGGUUGAUGCCAUGCUUCCAGGAAAAGCCUCUAAGCUUCAGGUAAUUAGGAAUCGUACCCCAAACCGACACAGGUGGUCGGGUAGAGAAUACCAAGGCGCUUGAGAGAACUCGGGUGAAGGAACUAGGCAAAAUGGCACCGUAACUUCGGGAGAAGGUGCGCCGGUGAGGGUGAAGUAUUUACUACGUAAGCCCAUGCCGGUCGAAGAUACCAGGCCGCUGCGACUGUUUAUUAAAAACACAGCACUCUGCAAACACGAAAGUGGACGUAUAGGGUGUGACGCCUGCCCGGUGCCGGAAGGUUAAUUGAUGGGGUUAGCGCAAGCGAAGCUCUUGAUCGAAGCCCCGGUAAACGGCGGCCGUAACUAUAACGGUCCUAAGGUAGCGAAAUUCCUUGUCGGGUAAGUUCC